This is an RNA transcript of Melospiza melodia melodia, 3309 nucleotides long. It is a transcript of the gene named 5-hydroxytryptamine receptor 6, with no coding region annotated. The record is from RefSeq and is a predicted model, not a curated record. The transcript has 4 exons. NCBI's taxonomy places the organism in Eukaryota, Metazoa, Chordata, Aves, Passeriformes, Passerellidae.
CCAGAGCAGCAGGUGAAAGUCGGGCUGGCACCUGCACACACCCACUGCCACCGCUCCCUGUGGGCUGGACGCUGCUGUGCCGCGGCAGAGAUCCCUUCCACACCCCGCACCUUCCUCCUCCCGGGCGGGCUCGGCCGGGAGCAUCCCGGUCCUCCUUGCCCGAGGCUGCUCUGCCGCUCCCGACGCUCCGGCUGCAGCAGCGGAGGAGCUCCGGGACCCCGGGCACAGAGCUCUGCAGGGCGCCCAGCCCAGCCGGGGGGCGGCAGCUGAGCCUCGGGGGGCCGGAGCAUCCCCAGCAUCUGGAGCAUCCUGGAGUCCAGAGCAUCCCCAGCGGCCAGGGUACCCUGGGUACAGAGCAGCCCUGGCACCUGGGAUAUCCUGGGAUGCAGAGCAUCCUCAGCAUCUGAAGUGCAGAGCAUCCAGAGCAUCUCGGUGCUGUAUUAUUCCUUGGUCCAGUGCAUCCAGAGCAUCAGGGUAUCCAGAGCAUCCUGCCAUCCCUGGCACCUUGGGAACUCUGCCUUCCAGCUCGUCCCCAGCGUCCAGAAGCAGCAUCCAGGGACACCCCAGAGCAGGGGGAUUUACAGGAACUGCUGUGAGUAAUGGGGAGGGAACCUUGGUGCUGCUGAUCGGCUCCUGGGAAUGUCAGCCUGCCCUGAGUGCCAGUGAGGAGAGACAGUGGGGGAAGAGAGGGAGAGGAGGAGGAGAGGAGGAGGGAGGACAGACACAGAGCAGAGAGAUGAUCCUCCUUCCCCAGCGCUGGUGAUGAUCACGUAGCACGGGCCACGCUGGAGAAGGUGCCCAGCCCAGAGCCAGCCCUGCCCCUGGCUCCUCAUGGAGGGGGACCUGGGGGCCCCCAAUGCCAGCGUGCUGGGAGAGCACUCCCUGCUCGUGGGCAGCAGCUGGGUGGCCGCCUUCCUCUGCUUCAUCAUCCUCCUGACCACGGCGGGCAACUUCCUCCUCAUCCUCCUCAUCGUCAGCCAGCGCUCCCUCCGCAACACCUCCAACUAUUUCCUGGUGUCCCUGUUCAUGUCGGACCUGAUGGUGGGGCUGGUGGUGAUGCCCCCGGCCAUGCUCAACCAGCUCUACGGCCGCUGGGUGCUGCGGGGGGACUUCUGCUCCCUCUGGGCCUCCUUCGACGUCAUGUGCUGCAGCGCCUCCAUCCUCAACCUGUGCCUCAUCAGCCUGGACAGGUACCUGCUGAUCACGUCCCCGCUGCGCUACAAGCUGCGCAUGACGUCCUGCCGGGCGCUGGCGCUCGUCCUGGCCGCCUGGGCCUUGGCCGCGCUGGCCUCCUUCCUGCCCAUCAAGAUGGGCUGGCACGAGCUGGAGUUCCAGGUGCAGCCCCUGAACGUCACGGGGGGCCGGGGGGACGAGGAGCAGUGCCGGCUGCGGGUCAGCCUGCCCUACGCCCUGGUGGCCUCCUGCCUCACCUUCUUCCUGCCCUCCGCCGCCAUCUCCUUCACCUACUGCCGCAUCCUGCUGGCGGCGCGCAAGCAGGCCGUGCAGGUGGCCUCCCUGGCCUCCAACGUGGCCACUGCUGAUGAGGCCACGCCACAGGUCCCACGUGCCCCGAGCCAGCCCCUGGCCAGCAGUGAGAGCAGGAGGUUCACCAACAAGCACAGCAAGAAGGCUCUGAAGGCCAGCCUGACCCUGGGCAUCCUCCUGGGCAUGUUCUUUGUGGCUUGGCUGCCCUUCUUUGUCACCAACGUAGCUCAGGCAGUUUGUGACUGUGUCCCGGCCGGAUUCUUCGAUGUGCUCACCUGGCUGGGCUACUGCAACAGCACCAUGAACCCCAUCAUCUACCCGCUCUUCAUGAGGGACUUCAAGAGGGCCAUGGGCAAAUUCCUGCCCUGCUGCCGGCACCCGGCGGAGCCGCGGCCCAGCGCCAUCUCCCUGUCCAUGAGGAACUCCAACAGCGCCGCCCGCGCCGCCACCUCCCUCAAGAACGUGCUCACCCUGCAGGCGGAGACCGACUCCAUGGACUCCGGGGCUCCGGGCAGCGAGCCCAGGCUGCCCCCGGCGCCGCGGGGCCCCGGCGCCCGCUCCGUCAGCCUCUGGGACACGGAGCCCCCGGGCACGGAGCUCAGCACCCCCGUGGCCUGAGCGGGCACACGCGGCUCUGUGCGACAGGAGGGAUCCCAAGGCCCAACACUGAGGGAUCCCAGGGCCCAACUCACACCCUGAGGGAGCUGAUUUGCCACAAGCCAUCUCCCCAGAUCCCUGGUCCGGCACACGGUGCAGCUCAUGGAGGGGAUGGUGGCCCCAGCACUGUCACAGGGAGGAUCAAACCCUGCAAAGGCAGGUGUGGCUGCUGAAUUAACCUGCUUUGUCUCUCUCUCUUUCAUCCCUCCUGCGCUCACCAUCACCAUGCUCUAACCCUUCCUGUGGCCUUUCCACCUCUGGUGUUCCAGAACUGAACUGGAGUUUGUAUGACCAAUCCAGCAUUUCUUUGCCACAGAUCCCUUGGGAUGAGUGACCAGGACACGCUGAGGGCCAAGCACAGGCUCAAACCUCAAACUGUUCAAUGAAUUUUGCUACAGAUGGAGCUUGGGGCUGGUGUUGAGCACCCAGAUCAAGAUGUGCAUCUUCCCACAAUGGCUUAAUAUAAACACAAGCUUGGACUACAACCCGAGUUAAAAAGGAGCAGAAAAAGGUACUGUGGAGUCUGGAAGUGUGUUAGGCACCAAAUCAGCCUUGGGAGAUGGACAGAGAGAGAGGCAGAGUCACCUCUUCAAGCCGAAUGUUCAAAAGCAAUAAUUCUUUCCUGUCUCAUGCAGGCAGUUCUGUGUGAUUGGGUGUUUGCUUGUGGACAAAGCCUUGGAUGAGCAGAGAAUCCCAUCCCAAUCCUGCAGCACCAACAGCAGCUGGCUGAACAGCCCCAACCCCGUGGGAUCCCACAGCCAGUCCCUCCCAUCUCCGCAGCAAGGCACCCCUCAGGGCAGAGCUGGGCAGGUCUGAGCCCCUGGGAUGAUGGAUUUAGGGACAGGAAUUGCCAGGCACUGCAUCCAAACCACGGUGCUUUGCUGGCUCACAGCAUCACCCCAAACCCAGCUGAGCCUGGCUCCACGAGGAAUGAUCUGCAGGUAAGGUCUGCAGGAAGCUGGGAAUGGGAGGGGGAUUAACAUGGCUGUUGGGUCAGUGGGGAGGAGGGGGAGAGCCCUGUGUGAACCAAAACUGGAAGGUGCAAUCCCAGUAUUUCCCUCUCAUGAGUCUACAGGACCCCCAGAUGGGGAUGGAAGAGUUUGAACCCUCCCUUGUGGCAAAGCGUAAAACCCCAGAGUGUGAUCACCCUCCUGCCACACUCCUGCC